This 415-nucleotide ribosomal RNA is filed under the name uncultured Gloeotrichia sp. Its description in RNAcentral is "bacterial SSU rRNA". It matches the Rfam family "Bacterial small subunit ribosomal RNA", at positions 505 to 918 of the family's 1533-position model. Lineage: Bacteria; Bacillati; Cyanobacteriota; Cyanophyceae; Nostocales; Gloeotrichiaceae. The record is from RNAcentral.
GUGCCAGCAGCCGCGGUAAUACGGAGGAUGCAAGCGUUAUCCGGAAUGAUUGGGCGUAAAGCGUCCGCAGGUGGCUAUGUAAGUCUGCUGUUAAAGAGUCUAGCUCAACCAGAUAAAAGCAGUGGAAACUACAUGGCUAGAGUGCGUUCGGGGCAGAGGGAAUUCCUGGUGUAGCGGUGAAAUGCGUAGAGAUCAGGAAGAACACCGGUGGCGAAAGCGCUCUGCUAGGCCGCAACUGACACUGAGGGACGAAAGCUAGGGGAGCGAAUGGGAUUAGAUACCCCAGUAGUCCUAGCCGUAAACGAUGGAUACUAGGCGUGGCUUGUAUCGACCCGAGCCGUGCCGUAGCUAACGCGUUAAGUAUCCCGCCUGGGGAGUACGCACGCAAGUGUGAAACUCAAAGGAAUUGACGGGG